CCUACGGGAGGCAGCAGUAGGGAAUUUUCGUCAAUGGGCGCAAGCCUGAACGAGCAAUGCCGCGUGAACGAGGAAGGUCUUCGGAUUGUAAAGUUCUUUUGUAGGGGAAAAAGAGCGGAGAGAGGAAAUAGUCACCGGCUGAUAUUACCCUUCGAGGAAGCCCCGGCUAACAACGUGCCAGCAGCCGCGGUAAUACGGUGGGUGCGAGCGUUGUCCGGAAUGGCUGGGCGUAAAGGGUGUGUAGGCGGCCUGGUAAGGCCGGUGUGAAAUGGUCGGGCUUAAACCGGGAAGGGCACUUGAAACUGGCGGGCUAGAGUGCGGGAGAGGGCGGUGGAAUGCCAGGUGUAGCGGUGAAAUGCGUAGAUAUAUGGAAGAACACCAGUGGCGAAGGCGGCCUCCUGGGCUGUAACUGACGCUGAGGCACGAAAGCGUGGGGAGCAAAUAGGAUUAGAUACCCUGGUAGUC
RNAcentral lists this ribosomal RNA (465 nucleotides) under uncultured bacterium. RNAcentral describes it as "partial 16S ribosomal RNA". It matches the Rfam family "Bacterial small subunit ribosomal RNA", at positions 338 to 795 of the family's 1533-position model. The record is from RNAcentral.